GCCAGGUGUGGUGGCACACACCUGUAGUCCCAGCUACUCGGGAGGCUGAGGUGGGAGGAUCGCUGGAGCCCUGGAGUUUGAAGCUGCAGUGAUGGCGCCACUGCACCCCAGCCUGGGCAGCACAGUGAGACCCUGUCUCUU
Non-coding RNA from Pan troglodytes (chimpanzee), 141 nucleotides. It matches the Rfam family "Metazoan signal recognition particle RNA". Rfam says of the family: The signal recognition particle (SRP) is a universally conserved ribonucleoprotein. It is involved in the co-translational targeting of proteins to membranes. The eukaryotic SRP consists of a 300-nucleotide 7S RNA and six proteins: SRPs 72, 68, 54, 19, 14, and 9. Lineage: Eukaryota; Metazoa; Chordata; Mammalia; Primates; Hominidae. The record is from Rfam.